Small nuclear RNA from Sorex fumeus (smoky shrew), 164 nucleotides. RefSeq annotates it as U1 spliceosomal RNA. NCBI's taxonomy places the organism in Eukaryota, Metazoa, Chordata, Mammalia, Eulipotyphla, Soricidae. The transcript has a single exon. The record is from RefSeq and is a predicted model, not a curated record.
UUAUAUCCCUGGCAGGGGAGACACUAUAAUCAUGAAAGUGGUUUUCCCAGGACUAGCCUUAUCCAUUCCACUCCGGAUGUGCUCCCCACUGCGAUUUCCCCAAAUAUGGGAAACUCCACUGCGCAGUUUGUGGUAGAAGGAGAAUGCAUUUAUGCUCUCCCCUG